AAUUUGUGGUGCAAACAUUUUUGAAUCAACAUUUUGAAGCAUUCCCAUGCCUCAUAGAAACCUUCUCCUUCCAUCUAUCUAAAGAUUGCAAUCUCUCUUCUUAGCC
Non-coding RNA from Gossypium hirsutum (cotton), 106 nucleotides. The record is from Rfam. Lineage: Eukaryota; Viridiplantae; Streptophyta; Magnoliopsida; Malvales; Malvaceae.